AUGAGUCGACCUGAUGGGGUCAACAUCCCCGACGACAAGUUCUACCUUGGAGAUGCUGGCUAUGCAUGUCGGCCGGGUAUUCUUUCACCCUUCAGGAAAACGAGGUACCAUCUCAACGAGUUCUCAGGUAGGAACUAUCCUAGGACUGCACAGGAGCGGUUUAAUCUCAGACACUCCAGCCUUAGAGUAACUGUUGAGAGGGCAUUUGGAGCUCUGAAGAAUAGGUUUAAGAUCCUGGAUCAGAAGCCAUUCCACCCAUACUACAGUCAGGUUUAG
This 276-nucleotide ribosomal RNA is filed under the name Triticum aestivum (bread wheat). Its description in RNAcentral is "partial small subunit ribosomal RNA". The record is from RNAcentral. Lineage: Eukaryota; Viridiplantae; Streptophyta; Magnoliopsida; Poales; Poaceae.